Molecule: unclassified non-coding RNA, 229 nt
Filed under: plant metagenome
Description: partial contains small subunit ribosomal RNA, internal transcribed spacer 1, and 5.8S ribosomal RNA
Source: RNAcentral
UUUCCGUAGGUGAACCUGCGGAAGGAUCAUUAAAGAAUUUGCCCCGUCCUCUCGAGGAUGGGUCCUCUUCUAAACCGUGUAUACAUACCUUUGUUGCUUUGGCGGGCCGCCGUCUCGGCGUGGGCUUCGGCUGGUCAGUGCUUGCCAGAGGACCCAAAACUCUUAUUAUUAAUGUCGUCUGAGUACUAUAUAAUAGUUAAAACUUUCAACAACGGAUCUCUUGGUUCUG